GACGAACGCUGGCGGCGUGCUUAACACAUGCAAGUCGAACGGAAAGGCCCUGCUUUUGUGGGGUGCUCGAGUGGCGAACGGGUGAGUAACACGUGAGUAACCUGCCCUUGACUUUGGGAUAACUUCAGGAAACUGGGGCUAAUACCGGAUAGGAGCUCCUGCUGCAUGGUGGGGGUUGGAAAGUUUCGGCGGUUGGGGAUGGACUCGCGGCUUAUCAGCUUGUUGGUGGGGUAGUGGCUUACCAAGGCUUUGACGGGUAGCCGGCCUGAGAGGGUGACCGGCCACAUUGGGACUGAGGUACGGCCCAGACUCCUACGGGAGGCAGCAGGGGGGAAUAUUGCACAAUGGGCGGGAGCCUGAUGCAGCAACGCCGCGUGCGGGAUGACGGCCUUCGGGUUGUAAACCGCUUUCGCCUGUGACGAAGCGUGAGUGACGGUAAUGGGUAAAGAAGCACCGGCUAACUACGUG
This 468-nucleotide ribosomal RNA is filed under the name uncultured bacterium. RNAcentral describes it as "partial 16S ribosomal RNA". It matches the Rfam family "Bacterial small subunit ribosomal RNA", at positions 28 to 507 of the family's 1533-position model. The record is from RNAcentral.